CCUACGGGCGGCAGCAGUGAGGAAUAUUGGUCAAUGGGCGCUAGCCUGAACCAGCCAAGUAGCGUGAAGGAUGACUGCCCUAUGGGUUGUAAACUUCUUUUAUAUGGGAAUAAAGUGCAGUAUGUAUACUGCUUUGCAUGUACCUUAUGAAUAAGGAUCGGCUAACUCCGUGCCAGCAGCCGCGGUAAUACGGAGGAUCCGAGCGUUAUCCGGAUUUAUUGGGUUUAAAGGGAGCGUAGGCGGGUUGUUAAGUCAGUUGUGAAAGUUUGCGGCUCAACCGUAGAAUUGCAGUUGAUACUGGCAGCCUUGAGUACAGUAGAGGUAGGCGGAAUUCGUGGUGUAGCGGUGAAAUGCUUAGAUAUCACGAAGAACUCCGAUUGCGAAGGCAGCCUGCUGGACUGUAACUGACGCUGAUGCUCGAAAGUGUGGGUAUCAAACAGGAUUAGAUACCCUAGUAGUC
Molecule: ribosomal RNA, 460 nt
Filed under: uncultured bacterium
Lineage: Bacteria
Description: partial 16S ribosomal RNA
Rfam family: Bacterial small subunit ribosomal RNA
Source: RNAcentral